GGGUGAGCAGCCUGCAGUCCGCAUUAGGGAAGCUAGGAGCAACAAAAGAACCAGAGGACUGAGUCACUGUGCCCGCUGGCCUUUCCGGAUGUCCUUGAGAGCAUGACCACGGAUGAGGGCCGUUUCUCCCUGGGCAACUGCUGAGUCAAAGGCUGUAUUGUUGCCGGAGCCCAUUGACAGACAUUCCCGUGUGCCUCUCAGCAAACAGCUGCCCUGGUUUAUAAAUUAAGGAUUCAAAGCACCAUCUCUCCAGAAGUUAUUUCCCUCAGGAUUUCGUAUGACGACGAUGGGUUUGAUUGUCAUGAGCUCAUUUCCCCUUAGGGUUGCUUUCUGCAUUCAGAUGCAUGGUGCAGUCGCUGAUGAGGAUGAAGAUGUGACUCCUGCAACAAUAUAGGGGUUUCUUGGAACACUGUGAGGGCUCUUUUUAUAGUUUAUGUCAACACUGAGCUGAGCAGGUGCCAGUGGGCACGAAUAUAUGACACCUUCCUAGUCUCUGACUAUAAUCCAGCAGGUCUCGCUGUGGGGUGCCCCCUGCUCUUUAGGUAUCCUACACACUGGACUUCAAGGCAAAGGUGCUGGGUUUGGAGGUAAAAGGAAGAGAAAAACAAAGUUGCUUAGGUA
Molecule: long non-coding RNA, 621 nt
Filed under: Mus pahari (shrew mouse)
Lineage: Eukaryota; Metazoa; Chordata; Mammalia; Rodentia; Muridae
Description: predicted gene 28199 (MGP_PahariEiJ_G0005998.1)
Source: RNAcentral